RNAcentral lists this ribosomal RNA (771 nucleotides) under uncultured bacterium. Its description in RNAcentral is "bacterial SSU rRNA". It matches the Rfam family "Bacterial small subunit ribosomal RNA", at positions 28 to 796 of the family's 1533-position model. The record is from RNAcentral.
GACGAACGCUGGCGGCGCGCCUAACACAUGCAAGUCGAACGGAGUUAUUUUGGUUGAAGUUUUCGGAUGGAUACCGAAUUAACUUAGUGGCGAACGGGUGAGUAACGCGUGAGUAACCUGCCCUGGAGUGGGGGACAACAGUUGGAAACGACUGCUAAUACCGCAUAAGCCCACGGCCCGGCAUCGGGCUGAGGGAAAAGGAUUUAUUCGCUUCAGGAUGGGCUCGCGUCCAAUUAGCUAGUUGGUGAGGUAACGGCCCACCAAGGCGACGAUUGGUAGCCGGACUGAGAGGUUGAACGGCCACAUUGGGACUGAGACACGGCCCAGACUCCUACGGGAGGCAGCAGUGGGGGAUAUUGCACAAUGGGGGAAACCCUGAUGCAGCGACGCCGCGUGGAGGAAGAAGGUUUUCGGAUUGUAAACUCCUGUCGUUAGGGACGAUAAUGACGGUACCUAACAAGAAAGCACCGGCUAACUACGUGCCAGCAGCCGCGGUAAAACGUAGGGUGCAAGCGUUGUCCGGAAUUACUGGGUGUAAAGGGAGCGCAGGCGGACCGGCAAGUUGGAAGUGAAAUCUAUGGGCUCAACCCAUAAAUUGCUUUCAAAACUGCUGGCCUUGAGUAGUGCAGAGGUAGGUGGAAUUCCCGGUGUAGCGGUGGAAUGCGUAGAUAUCGGGAGGAACACCAGUGGCGAAGGCGACCUACUGGACACCAACUGACGCUGAGGCUCGAAAGCAUGGGUAGCAAACAGGAUUAGAUACCCUGGUAGUCC